This 701-nucleotide ribosomal RNA is filed under the name uncultured bacterium. RNAcentral describes it as "bacterial SSU rRNA". It matches the Rfam family "Bacterial small subunit ribosomal RNA", at positions 64 to 807 of the family's 1533-position model. The record is from RNAcentral.
GAACGGGGUUCUUCGGAACCUAGUGGCGGACGGGUGAGUAACGCGUGAGAAUCUGCCUUUUGGACGGGGACAACCACUGGAAACGGUGGCUAAAACCGGAUAUGCCCUUGGGUGAAAGUAUUAAUAGCCAAAAGAGGAGCUCGCGACCGAUUAGUUAGUUGGCGGGGUAAGAGCUCACCAAGACCGCGAUCGGUAGCCGAUUUGAGAGGACGAUCGGCCACACUGGGACUGAGACACGGCCCAGACUCCUACGGGAGGCAGCAGUGGGGAAUUUUCCGCAAUGGGCGAAAGCCUGACGGAGCAAUACCGCGUGAGGGAGGAAGGCUCUUGGGUCGUAAACCUCUUUUCUCAAGGAAGAAGACCUGACGGUACUUGAGGAAUCAGCAUCGGCUAACUCCGUGCCAGCAGCCGCGGUAAUACGGAGGAUGCAAGCGUUAUCCGGAAUGAUUGGGCGUAAAGCGUCCGCAGGUGGCAUCUCAAGUCUGCUGUCAAAGCCCCCAGCUUAACUGGGAAGAGGCAGUGGAAACUGAGAAGCUAGAGAGCAAUAGGGGUAGAGGGAAUUCCCGGUGUAGCGGUGAAAUGCGUAGAGAUCGGGAAGAACACCAGUGGCGAAAGCGCUCUACUAGGUUGCAUCUGACACUGAGGGACGAAAGCUAGGGGAGCGAGUGGGAUUAGAUACCCCAGUAGUCCUAGCCGUAAAC